CGUGGGUAACCUGCCCAAGAGAUCGGGAUAACACCUGGAAACAGAUGCUAAUACCGGAUAACAACAGAUGAUGCCUAUCAACUGUUUAAAAGAUGGUUCUGCUAUCACUCUUGGAUGGACCUGCGGUGCAUUAGCUAGUUGGUAGGGUAACGGCCUACCAAGGCGAUGAUGCAUAGCCGAGUUGAGAGACUGAUCGGCCACGUUGGGACUGAGACACGGCCCAAACUCCUACGGGAGGCAGCAGUG
RNAcentral lists this ribosomal RNA (246 nucleotides) under uncultured Lactobacillus sp. RNAcentral's name for it is "partial 16S ribosomal RNA". It matches the Rfam family "Bacterial small subunit ribosomal RNA", at positions 116 to 356 of the family's 1533-position model. The record is from RNAcentral. Lineage: Bacteria; Bacillati; Bacillota; Bacilli; Lactobacillales; Lactobacillaceae.